AUGCACGACCUCACCCCGAUCCCAAGGUCGCACCGCCGUGGCCGUCACAGCUCCCUUCUCUACCAUCCUCGCGACGGUCAUACACUCCGGCAUCUACGCACGCGACUUGGAUCUUGGGCCGUCUCGGCAAAGUUGCCCGCACCCAGAACCCUAGGGCGGGCCGUCGGCCACCGCGGCAAUGUGGGCAGAGGGCGCGUGGCUGCCACGACUAACCGGGUGGGGAUAGCCAACGGGUCCGCCGGUGCACCUACCGUGGGAAGUGACGACAUCACUGUGCUUAAUGAAGAUGUUUAUGACAUAUUCGGUCUACGUAACGAGGGUGAUGAUGUGAUUAGCAUGAAAGCAACCGUAGAACUGGAUGUCAAAAAAAAUGUUCCGACUAAGUUUAUAGACAAAAGAACAUGCCUAAUCCUCAUCGGUGACUUGAUAAAAAAUAUUGUUGAUAGUCAGUCAUAUGAUGAUGAUUUUGUGAGAAGGGCCGUACUGGUUCUUAUGGGUACAGUCUUAGCACCACAAUCCACCAAAUUUGUUCCUUAUCGUUAUUACAAAAUGGUGGAGGAUGUCAGCGCUAUCAAGUCAUACAAUUGGAACAAUUUCACGUUGUGUUACAUAUACUGGGAAAAACUUGAGCCAAUUGGUCUGGAUGCAUUUGAUCCUUUGUCUCGUGAGUACCCACUAAUGCUGAACUGGCCCGAAACAGAAGGGAAAAAGAGAGACGACUAUGACAAAAUACAAGGGUGGGGUAGCGGCAAUACUGAAAACUGCAUUAGCGAAGAGUACAGAUGUGCUAAGGUUGCACGCGAAGGGACUGCCCCAGAGGAAGAACCGCCGAAAACUAAGCAGAAAGGUGGUGGCAGGAGUAGAAAGGCAAGCACGUCGGUGGUUUCAUCGAACACAAAUUAUAAUAUGGACCGUGUGAUGACAUACAUAAAACUGCUUCACAAGGAGAUGGUAAUGGAAAGGUUGAACACGGAAGGUGUGAUGUACAAACCCAAUAAGAGGGAAAACGUUGACGAAUUUGAUGAUGUAGGUGAAGGAGUUGGGAUGCGGAAUGGCAAGUACCAGUCAAAAUAUGGGGCGUCAAAAUAUUGGCCAGAUAUUGAAUCACCUACCGACAUAAAGAUAGGAACAUCUUUCACGGGUGAAGCUACUGAUCCUUUCAUUAUAGAGGAUAAUGGAAACUCUCCAUCUUCGGCAUCAAUUGUACGGACAAAAGACUUUCCGUCUAUGUCCCGAACCCUGCAGAUUGUUGAUAUUUUUGGUGAGUCUAUGGGUGGUUUGUCACUAACAAAGUCCGAAGAAUCGCUUGAGAGUUUCCUGGCAAAGAGCAAGAUAGCUAAUGGUGAUGGCAGUCAGGACAAUCAAGGUAAACACAAACGAAAUCCGUCGAAAUAUUGUCAAUCCCCCUACGACCUUCUCAUUACCUGCAAGAAACGUGUUAAAAAAAUAAUCAAUGCAUAUUGUAAGCACCUAGAACACCGCGGUUUUGCUGAUCGUCACAUAUCAACAACGUGGUUCCCUAAAUUUAUGUUGAAUAGGGCAAGGGGAAAGACCAAGUCAGUAAAUAAUAUAAACUCAGAGAAGCUUACAAGGAAAACAAAAGUCCUCACGCGAGUAAUGGAUGAGUAUUUCGCAUGGGACAAGGUAUUGCUUUCAUAUUUAUUAGUUUUUGUAAGUCAAUAUUUUGUAAUUGCACUAACAUCAUUUGGUUGUUAUGUAGGCGUAUUUUCCUAUGCACGUUAA
Molecule: ribosomal RNA, 1743 nt
Filed under: Triticum aestivum (bread wheat)
Lineage: Eukaryota; Viridiplantae; Streptophyta; Magnoliopsida; Poales; Poaceae
Description: partial small subunit ribosomal RNA
Source: RNAcentral